UCCAGACAGCUAAAAUCAGUGGAUAAACCCUAGACCUCCAUAUCCAUUUCUCCUUCUUCUACGUAUCUGGUAUGCUCUUUCUAGGGUUAAUUUCCCCUAUUUUGUUCUUCCACAAUCUAAUCACUGAGCUCAGCUCUGUAUUGGGUUUUUCCUCCUCCCGUAAUUAGUCUUGAUUUUUGUGACUAAGCAGUAAGCAGUGAUUUUCUGUUGCAUGAACCCAAACUUCUGUGCCUGAUUUUGGAUUCUGAUAACCGACGGCAAUGGCUUCUCUCUUCAAGGAUCCGUCUAAACUUUCUGCAUAUCGGGAUAGAAAGUUUCCUGGAAAUCAAGAGGAAUUUGAACAUGCGCUUCAGACCUCGAUUACUGUUUACAUUGGGAACAUGUCGUUCUACACUACAGAAGAGCAAGUUUACGAACUUUUCUCCCGAGCUGGAGAAAUUAAGAAGAUAAUUAUGGGAUUAGAUAAGAACACGAAAACUCCUUGUGGUUUUUGCUUCGUCUUGUACUAUUCUAGAGAAGAUUGUGAGGAUGCAGUAAAGUAUAUUAGUGGCACAAUUCUUGAUGAUCGUCCUAUUCGUGUGGAUUUUGACUGGGGAUUUCAGGAAGGAAGGCAAUGGGGCCGUGGUCGAAGUGGUGGACAGGUUAGAGAUGAGUAUCGUACAGACUAUGAUCCUGAUAUCCUUUCGUUGUGUUAUUUUUAAAUGCUCUAUUUCAAUGUUUAUGUUAUUUUCUUUCACCAUGAUCUGGUUAAAAUUGCAUGUUAUUUUCUGCGAGAAUAGAUGGUUUUGAAGCCCUUCGUUGUUCUUGCAAUUUAACAGGGUUAUUCUAGUGUUGACACUAGGAACUAGAUCCCUGCCGGAUCAGCAAGUGAUAAGAAUUACCCAGGCAAACAGCUUAUCAGUAUUACUGUUCUCAAAUGGUUUUGGUUUCCUGUCAAGUUGUACACGGUUCCUUUGACUGAAUCAUCUAUUGUCUUUUUAAAUGAUCCAAAUUCAAACUGUGAUUUCUUUGAAAGAAGGAACAUCCAUUUCCUGCCAGUGAAGAAAUUGAUUGUUUAAAGUGGCUGUUUAUUUUACUACGGUUAGCCGGAAUGACAGUUCUUGGGGAAAAAAAAAUCCACUUCUUUAUGUGUCCUUAACAUGAUAUACGCAGAGGUGGUUAUGGGAAAUUGGUUCAGCGAGAGCUGGAACAAAGACAGCUUGUGGAUUAUGGUGCUGGUUCAUUGGGCUCUUUCCCUCCAGUCAUGACACCUCAUUGUAAGUUGUUGCAAGAUAGGUCUUGAGGAUCUCUCUUUCUUCAGCCACAAUUUUAAUUCAUAAUUUUCAUUGCUGUUGGCUGGAGUAAGUUAUUGCCUUCUACAGUUAUAUUCUUUGUGCUUUCUUUGUAUAAACUUGGCAUGGCAUGGCCCAACCUAGCUAAUGCCAGGCCUAGAAUUAUGGUUUAAUUUAAACUUUGUUCAAGCCUACAAUAUCAUAAAGUUAUUUAUAAUGAAAUAUGAUGGAAUGCCAAUGGAUACACUAUAAUGUUUUUUUUUGUGAAGGUUUAACCCUAAAAUUCAGGGUUUACCCAGCUAUGAGAAUACAUACAGGCUAUCAGUAACUUUCUGAAACAUGAGCUGUGAUGAUAAGUUUAGCCAUGGUGGUUAUGGUAUGGUGUAAUAAGUAGGGUUUUACUGCAGUUGGAAACCUUUGUUGUUUGCUCGAUCAUGAAUAAUUGUUUGGUGGAGUUUCCAUGCUGAUUAUUGGACACUGAAUACUGGUUUAAUGGAUUCUUUUACUGCCCUUUUAUACUGUUAUCACAGAAUUCAUUUGCAUUAUGAAAUAUUAGGUUUACACUUAAAAAUACCUUUGAACCCUCUCAAUAAGGUCACUUGGAAAUCUUUGGGUUACCAGAUUACGUUUUCACUACUUGUGAAGUCUGUUCUUUAAGUUUGGUCAUUUUUGGUUUUUUGAUUUUGUUAUUCUGCUUUCAAUAGUGCCUUAAUAUUUGCCUAAAACUGGCAGUAUGUUAGUAUGUUGUACAAAAAAUUUUUCUAUGUUAACAUCUUUGGACAUUUUGUUUUUGCAGAUGGCAGGCAUGGCGGAAGCCAUGGUCAUGGAGGUUAUCAUCGGCAUGGUAGAGGUAUUUCUGUUUUUGAGUACUUUUAAUUGCCUUGGGUAUCUUUUAUUAGAAAAUACUUUCUCUUCAAUCUUUUUUAGUUCAGUACUUCUAACUGAAAAUUUUUUUCAAUUGCCUUGCUGACAAUUGAUUUUUCUUGAUAUGGUCAUAAAGAUUUUAACUUGAUCCUCUUUUGGAGAGCAGAUUAUCACCGGAAGCGGCACCGAGAUGAUGAUCGUCAUACAAAUGAUUCCUCGAGGAGAACCAUAGAUCAUGAAUCAAGGAGAAACUCUGAUCCUGACUCCCGACCGGAAAAGAAUCCGCGUUUUCGUGAGAGUGGCGACUCUGAUGAAGAUGAGGAGGAAUAUGAUCGGAAGCGAUGAUCUUAGCCUAUUCUUACUGCUCUAUCUUGAAUUAGCGAGAUAAUGUAAUAGCAUUUUGUACAAAGUCUAAUGAAGGGUAUUAAUUCCAAUGAAGGUAAAAUUCAUGUUCAUGAAAAAUGCAACUGCCAAGGUCUUUUUUUUCGUUUUUAAAGUUAGCUUUUGCAGAUGUUAUAAUGAAGAUGCCCUACAUUUGGGAUUGGACUUCAUUGUUGUAUGCAUUUGGAAGGGUAAAUAUCGCAAGUGGUCACUCAAGAGUGUUUUUACAAAAGUGACUGAAUUUUAAUUUUUUUUGUAA
This 2775-nucleotide unclassified non-coding RNA is filed under the name Hevea brasiliensis (rubber tree). Lineage: Eukaryota; Viridiplantae; Streptophyta; Magnoliopsida; Malpighiales; Euphorbiaceae. The record is from RNAcentral.